GAUGAACGCUAGCGGCAGGCCUAAUACAUGCAAGACGAACGGUAAGCUUUGUAGCAAUACGGAGCCUAGAGUGUCGUAAGGGUGCGUAACACGUAUGCAAUCUACCCUGUACAGGAGUAUAGCUCCCCGAAAGGGGAAUUAACCCUCCAUAACAUAGUGAGUCGGCAUCGACUUAUUAUUAAAACUGAGGUGGUACAGGAUGAGCAUGCGUCUGAUUAGCUAGUUGGUAGUGUAAUGGACUACCAAGGCAAUGAUCAGUAGGGGAACUGAGGUUGAUCCCCCACACUGGCACUGAGAUACGGGCCAGACUCCUACGGGAGGCAGCAGUAGGGAAUAUUGGACAAUGGGUGAUAGCCUGAUCCAGCCAUGCCGCGUGCAGGAAGAAGGCCUUCUGGGUUGUAAACUGCUUUUAUCUGGGGAUAAAAAGGCCUUGCGAGGCAAACUGAAGGUACCAGAUGAAUAAGCCACGGCUAACUACGUGCCAGCCGCCGCGGUAA
Molecule: ribosomal RNA, 497 nt
Filed under: uncultured bacterium
Lineage: Bacteria
Description: partial 16S ribosomal RNA
Rfam family: Bacterial small subunit ribosomal RNA
Source: RNAcentral